GGUUGGUUGUCCUCUUAACUGAGAAGUGUCGAGACAUUGGUAUGGCAUAUAAAUGAGAGGUAAGAGUAUAUCUUAUUGAACGUAACCAACUGUGGAGUACUUUGCUGUCAAGAGCAGCUCGUGAAGGGUAUAGGUAUAAAUGUCCCUCCACCAUAAGAUCACCAUGGUAACUUAUAAGCAACUCAGUGUGUUUUGGUGCUGGAUUACUUGAAUU
Molecule: long non-coding RNA, 214 nt
Filed under: Elaeis guineensis (African oil palm)
Lineage: Eukaryota; Viridiplantae; Streptophyta; Magnoliopsida; Arecales; Arecaceae
Description: long non-coding RNA (EGUI_LNC068567)
Source: RNAcentral